Bradysia coprophila is the source of this 151-nucleotide long non-coding RNA. The record is from RefSeq and is a predicted model, not a curated record. NCBI's taxonomy places the organism in Eukaryota, Metazoa, Arthropoda, Insecta, Diptera, Sciaridae.
CUCGUCAACGUAACCUUACUUAAUUUAUCGUCAAGUAGUCCCUAACCUCAAUUAAUUGACGUUAACUGCGUUCAAUUUACUGGUUUUUACAUGAAAAUUAUUUUUUCAAUGUUCCAAGGUUCCAAGGUUAUUUGAGCUAUCAAAUCGUUAU